UUUUUGUAGAAAAGGCCCCAAGGUCACCAGUUAUGGUACUCAGUUAUUGCUAAAGUGCUUCUAGUUAACUGGUAAUCAGAAUAGGGGCUAUCGUUUCAGGGUGAGCUCGCUCAGGGGGUUGGUCGCAGUGUUAGUGACGCCACUGUUUAACUUUGUGUAAGAAAUGUAAUGUGAGGCUACAGUUGAGGGAGACCCGAAUACUAGUUAGCGCAACGUGUGCGUGAAUGACAAAGAUCCAGUGGUGUGAGGCCAUUGUAGUUCUUCUGAUGAAGCACCAUGCAGCCGGUCUUCUGCAGCAGAGUCCAGCAUAACUCAACUCCACCCCUCUCUGCUGCAACAUGGAGCGCUGUCGCUCCCUGCUGGUCAACUGCAUUCACAACCCAUCGCUGGACAAGAAAAAAAAAAUAAAAACACAAUCUGUGGAACUGCUCGAAGAUCUGACAUCUUCCCUCCAAAUAUGAAGUCCUCUUUUUAUGUUAAACAUUUAUAAUUCAGCAUCACCACAGGCUAAAGAAAAUACAUGUUAGAUUACAGUGCAGAUGAUAUUUGAUGAAAAGGUUUUUAAAUAAUAAAGCUGACUUAAAAAGACA
Molecule: long non-coding RNA, 590 nt
Organism: Girardinichthys multiradiatus
Lineage: Eukaryota; Metazoa; Chordata; Actinopteri; Cyprinodontiformes; Goodeidae
Exons: 2
Source: RefSeq, a predicted model, not a curated record